AAUUUCUUUAUAGCUCUUUUAGAAUUUUUCUAACAGGAUUUCUGACUUGGUCAGAAAAUCCAAG
Rattus norvegicus (Norway rat) is the source of this 64-nucleotide small nuclear RNA. Ensembl annotates it as U7 small nuclear RNA. The record is from Ensembl. Lineage: Eukaryota; Metazoa; Chordata; Mammalia; Rodentia; Muridae.